This is a long non-coding RNA of Leguminivora glycinivorella, 1194 nucleotides long. RefSeq lists it as uncharacterized. The record is from RefSeq and is a predicted model, not a curated record. NCBI's taxonomy places the organism in Eukaryota, Metazoa, Arthropoda, Insecta, Lepidoptera, Tortricidae. The transcript has 2 exons.
GUGAUAGUCGUAAUUAAAUAUUUUGGAUAAAUUUAAUUUUUGAAUGAAACACUUCCUUCUCGUUCACUGCAUUAUCUGUUGCACUUCAAAUGCACAUAUUUAUGUUUAUCUGUUGUAGGGUUGCCAUACAACAAGUAUUAUUCGAAAUUGUAGGUAUUUUGGCUGUCAUUCCAGAAAAACUUUGUAUUAAUUUGAUAUAGUUAAGUAUUGAUUUUUGGAAAAUAUAAUAUUUUAGAAACAUGAUAACAAAUGUUAUCAUAGGUUUUUUAAGGCUGUUCUGGAAUGACAUUUGUUGGGUUUUGUUUACUUCAAGGUCUGAUACAGAAACUGGAGUAAUUUUCAUUUAAUUAAUUAGAGAUUUUUAUUGUUUAUUCGUUUGCCACCCGGCUUUUGUUUUGGGUCCUUUAAAUUCGAGAUCAUUCAGUGCGGCGUUCUUUUUGUGACGAGAUCCUCUUGUAUAGUGAUCGGACGGCCGUAUAAGGGCCUGGAGCCCGGCAUGCCACGUGCUGCCGUGGCGUUCCAUAUGUUGUGUGGUGCGUUCUGUCAGUCUGACUGGCAGAAACAUGCUAAGGGUGGGAGUGCUCCGUGGAGAUCCUCGGUCUGCAGUCUGCAGGUCUCCGGUGAGCUCGCUUACAUUUUUUGUUUAGUCUAUCACAGUGUGUGAGGGCACUCGACUAAUGUGACCAAUUUAUUUGUUUCAUAGGAGUCGGGCAGAAGUAGAAUUUAACAAGAACUUUUACAAUUUUGAUGUGCAAGGAAACUUUCUUGGGCGUUACUGGCGCAAGGUGCCUUUGGACCUUGUUUUCGUAUGGAAGGGUCAGCCCUGUCCACGUGGCGAGGGGGCGUCAGCACCGGAGUCCGGGGAGCAGCCGGCUCAUCCCUGACAAGGUGUGUCUCCUGCCCGUUUCCUGCCGGUAGUGCUGUGUAAUUCAGGUUUUAAAUUUCUGUGUAAAGUAAUUUCUGAUUUCAUUUAUUUUGAGAAUUCUGGUGCAUAACUUUAGGUAAAUUCGUAUUUAGUUUUUGUAGAAUAAAUGGUUGUAAGAAACCUUUUCCUGGACCCUCUUAAAGCGGCCCAGCUUUACCACUGAGCGUAGUUCUUAUUUCAUAUAUGGUGUCAAAUUUAGUAUUUUGGAAACAUUAACUUAAACCUAUCUGUAAGGCAAGAUUUUGGUAUAAUAAAUAUAUAAAAUGUGA